CGAGUGGCGAACGGGUGAGUAACGCGUGAGGAACCUGCCUCAAAGAGGGGGACAACAGUUGGAAACGACUGCUAAUACCGCAUAAGCCCACGGGUCGGCAUCGACCAGAGGGAAAAGGAGCAAUCCGCUUUGAGAUGGCCUCGCGUCCGAUUAGCUAGUUGGUGAGGUAAUGGCCCACCAAGGCGACGAUCGGUAGCCGGACUGAGAGGUUGAACGGCCACAUUGGGACUGAGACACGGCCCAAACUCCUACGGGAGGCAGCAUG
This 265-nucleotide ribosomal RNA is filed under the name uncultured bacterium. RNAcentral's name for it is "partial 16S ribosomal RNA". It matches the Rfam family "Bacterial small subunit ribosomal RNA", at positions 92 to 353 of the family's 1533-position model. The record is from RNAcentral.